This 253-nucleotide ribosomal RNA is filed under the name uncultured bacterium. RNAcentral describes it as "partial 16S ribosomal RNA". It matches the Rfam family "Bacterial small subunit ribosomal RNA", at positions 524 to 776 of the family's 1533-position model. The record is from RNAcentral.
UACGUAGGGGGCUAGCGUUGUCCGGAAUCAUUGGGCGUAAAGCGCGCGUAGGCGGCCCGGUAAGUCCGCUGUGAAAGUCAAAGGCUCAACCUUUGAAUGUCAGCGGAUACUGCCGGGCUAGAGUCCGGAAGAGGAGAGUGGAAUUCCUGGUGUAGCGGUGAAAUGCGCAGAUAUCAGGAAGAACACCCGUGGCUAAGGCGGCUCUCUAGUACGGUACUGACGCUGAGACGCGAAAGCGUGGGGAGCGAACAGG